GAGCAGGCGCUCGGCGGCCCGCGGGUCGGCGUUGUCGGCGCCGACGCCGACGGCGUUCGGGCCGAUCGCCUCGGCGGCCUGCUCG
RNAcentral lists this transfer RNA (85 nucleotides) under Streptomyces griseus. Its description in RNAcentral is "tRNA-Asp(gtc)". RNAcentral also lists the same sequence under 4 other names. The record is from RNAcentral. Lineage: Bacteria; Bacillati; Actinomycetota; Actinomycetes; Kitasatosporales; Streptomycetaceae.